Molecule: long non-coding RNA, 17821 nt
Filed under: Medicago truncatula (barrel medic)
Lineage: Eukaryota; Viridiplantae; Streptophyta; Magnoliopsida; Fabales; Fabaceae
Description: long non-coding RNA (MTRU_LNC008229)
Source: RNAcentral
CUAAACUCUACAAAGCUCUUGCAAAAGAUGCUGAUGAAAUAGUCCCAAAGGUGAUUUCUGCUGCCCAAAGUGUUGAAAUUGUUGAAGGAAAUGGUGGACCUGGCACCAUCAAAAAGUUAUCCAUGUCUGAAGGUAAUUCAUUAAGAGCAUUUACUAUAUCCCUGUCAAAAAAAUACAACUUUAUUAAUUAGUAAUUCAAUAGACAUGUUAAGAAAUCAUAUACUCACUUUUAUUUUUGAAUUAGAUUUUGAGUGUUGAAGGAGACCAAUGAUAAUACAUAAACUGAGUCUAUAUAUAAAUAAUAAGCUUCAAGAAACAACUAAUUUCCAUGGAAAAAGAAUAUAUAAGAUACUUCAUGCAAGAUUCAAGAGAACCACUAAACUGGAGACAGGGCCGGCCUAAGGACCAAACAACCUAAACAAGGGUUUUAGGCUUCAAAACUUUUGGUAAAAAAAAAGGUCUUUAAAAAAUUAAUUUGGUCAUAAGUAUAUUAUAUGACAGAUAAAUUACAGACAUUUGAAUAGCUUAACUGAUCAAAAAGGUUUUAAUUACUCAUGGUCAUGAAUUCAAAUUUUGGUCUCCACGCAAUUGCUUUUAUAUAAAUAUUCUAUUAAAAAAAUAAUUUCAAAGGCCACAUUAAAUUUUUUGAUUUAAGCCUCUUAAUCUGUUGGGUCGGCCAUGGCAGGAGAUCCAACUAUUUGUAUAAACUACAGUCGUUGAAAUGUAACUAUUGUGAGAGUGUUGCUUGUUUUCAUUAUAUAUAGUAGUUAUAUAUUCAAAUGAAAUGAAUGAUCAAAUUAACACUAAAAUUUAGUUAAAAUCAUUUCAAAUAUCAAUAUAUUAUUGUCAAGAUUAAAUUAUGUAAUUUUAUAUGAUUUCAACCUAAUGGUAAAGAGUGGUUAUAAUAUAUCCAGAUUAAUUGUAAAUAGACUCGUAUUCAAUAAUUAUAGUAAUUAAGAUCAACUUUUUAAUCAGCCCAAUAAAAUGUGUGGUCUACAACUAUAAGAUUCACACAAUAUUAUAGUAAAAUAGACUUAACAAUCAAGUGAUUAAAUAUAUCCAGUUACAUUAGAAUUGAUCUAUGACAAAAACAAUUUUUAGUCGAACUUUACUUUCAUUUUGAGGGAACCAACUUAUAUAAAUUAUGAUGGUUGUAUUGUAGGUGGCAAAACCGACUAUGUGCUACACAAAUUAGAAGCAAUGGAUGAAGCAAACUUGGGAUACAACUAUAGCAUUGUAGGAGGAACAGGGUUGGAUGAAAGUUUAGAAAAAGUUGAAUUCGAGACAAGUAUUGUGGCUGGCUCUGAUGGUGGAUCCAUUGUUAAGAUUUCAGUGAAAUACCACACCAAAGGUGAUGCAACUCUAUCUGAUGCAGUGCGUGAUGAAACUAAGACCAAAGGAACUGGACUUAUCAAGGCCAUUGAGGGAUACGUUUUGGCAAACCCUAAUUAUUAAGUAAAAUGUAUACUUGGUUGUGUUGUGUCAUACCAAUAAUAAUUGAAGUUUAUGAUAUGGUUGUUUGAUUUAUACAUCACGAUUUCUAGCUUAUACAUGUGUGUGGGCUUUGUUGUUUAAUUACAAAAAUCUAUGUGUUGAUGUUGAGGUUUUGUACCAUCUAUAAUUCUGUAAUAAAUAAUGAAGAAUUUUCUAGCACUUUUCAUUCGGUAUUUUAACUUUAUAUGCCUUGACCAUUAUUGGUACACCAAUUUCCUUUCCUCUUGUUAUCCUUUUUUUUUCUUUCUUUGGAUUUAUUUUUGACUUGUAACACAUAAAAACUCAACUCAUCACUAGCAUGCUUUGAAUUUUACUAUGGCUGAGAAAAAGUAAAAACAUAAUGUGAGUAUGAUAGAGAAAGUUGUCAUAUAAUGGUUAUAUAAAUAUUAUUUCUCUAUCAUAAAUGUAAAGUGGAAGAUAUUGAAUUGAGAGUGAUGAAAUUUGUAUGGGUCUUGUUAACGAGUGCCCCCGAGGGCACUCUUUAAGCAUACUAAAUUAGAAAAUUAUUCUUUAAAAAAUUCAAAUAAUUCAAUUUCCAAUGCAUUGAAUACAUAACUUUUCAUAAAAAGUUACUAUUUAAGACCCUUAAAGAGUGUCCCCAGGGCACUAGUUAACAUUUCUGAAUUAUAGUAUUAAUUAAGAUGUAUAAUUGAAAAAAGAUAGUUAAUUAAUAUUAUAUUAAAAAGUGAAAUUGAUCAUUCAUUUUAGAUCUUUCUUCUUUUUUACAAAUAAAUUACUUAUUGUGGAACAUGAGGAGUAUCAUUUAUGCUCAAACUAAUCAUGCAAACUCUAAUAUAUAUAAACAAUUAUAAAUCAAAUAGACUUCAAUUUGAUAUUCCUUGCACUCGAAUAAUUUGGUAAGAGACAAAUUAAAUAAAGGAAUUUAAGUUUUUAUAAAUAAUCAACAUGUUAUAAGAUACAAUUGUUUGAAAAAGAAGAAUGGUGGUUUGCGGGUUAGGGUCUCUUAGUUAAUCAUCUAUUUCUGUUUCAUGUUUUUUUUUUUAAUAAUUUAUUUCUGUUUCAUGUUAUUUACCAACUUUAUAUUAGUUUUUUUGUAACUUUUUUAGUACAACUUGUGCUGAAAAGAUUUUGGUUAAUGAUAUUCUAUUUUGACAUGCUAAAAAAAAUGAUGAAUGUGAACCCGUUAAAUAAGUAAACGAUAUAGUACAUAGGUUGCAUAUUUUUAAACUUUGCCGUCUUUGAAUUGAAUUCUUGAUGCUUUUGUCCAAGUCAAAUUUCGAUUUUUAAUUCCUUUGCCCAUCUCUUCAUCGGCCAAAACUUCUGAGCUAAUAAGUCAUUGAUCUAUAUCUAUAUAUCUAUCUAAAGAAAAGUCAUUGAGUUGAAAAUAUCAUUUUGAAGAUAUGCUCUACAAUUUAUGGUUUUGAAAAAUAAUACACGCUCUCUAAUAUGGACAGCUUUGUUUUACACACUUAUUAAUCCUACUUAUUAAAGGUGCUACUAGCUAGUAACAGAUGGGAAACUUUUUGUUUCAAGUUUACCAAAUUUAUUUUUGGUGAUAACAUUUCUUGGAACAUAAAGAUGAGAAUUUUAUUCUAAAAUAUUUAGAAAAAAGAUGUUUGCUUAACAUUAUAGUAUUCUCAGAAACCAUAAAAAUAAGGAUUAUAAUAGAUAAUUACACAUGAAUCUAUUCCCAUGUUCAUGGGAACUUUAUUCCCACUAGUUUCUGUGAGAAAUUUUUUCCAUUCCCAUAAACAUUUUAUACCUGCGAAUAAAAUUUAAUAAAUUUGUAACAAACAUAGACAUGCAUAUGUCUAUUGUUUUAUUCCCAAAAAUCUACAUAGAUAACUUGAAAUAAACGUACCCUUAAAUUUAAUUAUUUACUGAAAAGAAAAAUGUGAUAAGGAAUCUGUUUCUACACCUCCAGGAAACACUAUCUCUUUUUCUUUUACGGAUCAAAGCUACAUUAUUUAGUUCCGUAAAUACAAUUUGAAUGGUAAAAAAUUUAAAGAUAUUUGAUUAAUUGGAGUGCGAGUUUGAAUAUAUAAUUCUUCACUUUAAAUGUUUUAAAGUAGAAUUGAUUUUUUUUGUAAAAUUAAUUCUACUCAAAGCUAAAUGUCGAGGCACGAAUAUUGUUCAAUUCACUUUUACUUAAAUAUAAUAAAACAUAUAUUAUUUUACAUUUAAUCAGAAUUAACUGUACAAAAUUAAUUCAUUUAGAAUCAAAUUUUUGUUGUGUAGCAUAAACAAACACACACUAAAUUACGUAGUUUGAUUUCUUUAUUAAAAAAAAGAAAGAGUAAAAUGAUUUCAUAUUUUGUCUUCAUUCCCAUUAGUUUGUUAUUGUCUUUGUAAUAAAAAAAUUAAAAAAAAUAUUUUUUUUCACUACGUAAAAACUUCACGUAGAUCUUUUUAUCAUUAAUUAAUUCGUGCGUGGUUAUGUACGACUGAGUCUCCUUAUUUUAGGAUAACGACUUCAAAUCUUUCAUACAUCAAUCUUCACCAAACUUUAACGGUGUGUUUGGAUGUAAGAUGAAAAUGAAAAGUGAUAAACAGAUGAGAAAGAGUGUGAGAAGAGAGAAAGCGAUAAGCAAUACAAUAGAUUUGUAGCAUUGAUUAGUAUAAAAAUGAGAAGAGAAAUAUAAAAAAAAAAAACAGAUAUUUUAUUCUUUGAAAAAGACAAAAACAACCUCCAUUAAAAAUAAAAUAGUAAAAUAUCGCUACUAUAUUAUGCUAUCUAAAGUUUGUCAUAAAAAUUAUCCUAUAUUAUAAUUUAUUAGUAUAAUAAUAAAUCUCAUGAAAUAAAGUGAAAAAUUAUUUACUUUUUCAUUGUGCUGUAAAAAAGUACUCCAUGUUAAUCAAUGUAUAAAGCAUUUAAAAGAAAGGGGCAUAAUUGGAAAUAUGCAAUAAAUAGGUUGCUCUAUUGGACUUUCAGGAUUGAAAAAACUGUCGGUACCAAAAAUUAAUUCGAACUUGAAUUAUUUCUUUUAACGCAACUUUAGAUGGCUCCUUGUGACUUUAAUUAAUAAUAUCAAACAUUUAUCUUGUAAAACAAGGUAGGACCUACCAAUAUGUCACUUAGUCAUGGAUUUCUAGACUAAUUCACAUUUUUAGAAUCGAAUUCAAGAUUGUCGACAUCACAAAGAGAAUUGACCCAAUAAAUAAAUAUCAAAAUACUUGAGCUAAAUAAAUAAGUGAGAUUUUGCAAACAAGGUAGGUCCUACCAAAGUUCUAUAAAUAGUAACCCUCAAUGUGUUAUAAACCGCAUCACAAACUAAAAUAGUAGCAUUAUUCAUAUUAUACAUUAAUUUCUCCUUUCAUUUACUUAUUGCAUAUUGAUCCUUUUUAUCUUGAUAUAUAUCAUGGGUUCUUUUGUUUUCAUUGAUGAACAUGUCUCAACUGUGGCUCCAGCUAAACUUUACAAAGCACUUGCAAAAGAUGCUGAUGAAAUCAUCCCAAAGGUGAUUCCAGCUGCUCAGAGUGUUGAAAUUGUUGAAGGAAAUGGAGGACCUGGCACCAUUAAGAAGUUAUCCAUGUCUGAAGGUAAUUGAUUAAGAUUAUAUAACAUUUACACAGUUGAAUUUUUGGGACUAGAGUUGAUUGUUGGUAUAUUGAAAUGAGAUUCAACAAUCAAGUAAUUAACGAUAUCCAGUUACGUUCAGAUUGAUCAAUGACUUAAACAAUUUUUAGUCAAACUUUAUUUAAAUUUGAGGGAACAAAACUUAUAUAAAUUAUGAUGGUUUAAUUGUAGGUGGUAAAACCGACUUUGUGCUACACAAAUUAGAAGCAAUGGAUGAGGCAAACUUGGGAUACAACUAUAGCAUAGUAGGAGGAACAGGAUUGGAUGAAAGUUUAGAGAAAGUUGAAUUUGAGACAAAUAUUGUGGCUGGAUCUGAUGGUGGAUCCAUUGUUAAGAUUUCAGUGAAAUAUCACACCAAAGGUGAUGCAGUUCUAUCUGAAGCUGUACGUGAGGAAACUAAGGCCAAAGGAACUGGACUUAUCAAGGCCAUUGAGGGUUAUGUUUUGGCAAACCCUAAUUACUAGCAAAUUAAACAUUUGCUUUAAUAAUAAUUAAAGACUAUGAUAUGGUUGAAUGUGUGUUGGAUAUUUUGAGGUUUGAGUGUUGUUUUGAGUGUUUAAAAACAAAAACCAAUGUUGUGUUGGUGAUGAGGUUUUGCACCAUCUGUAUUAUGUAAUAAAUAAUGCAAAAGAAUUUUCUAGCACUUUCCGUUAUUUUUUUAGAGGAAUAGCACUUUACAUCAUUUUAAUUUAAUUUAGGAUAACAUCAAACUAAUAGUGCAUGUGGUUUUCAAUUGGUUGAAUUUUAAACUAACACUGUCUACGGUUCGAUUAUUUAAACAGUUUGGUUGAGUUUUGUCUUGAAUUGAUUUGAGCAAAUUAAAGCAAUUGAAUCAUGUUUUGAAAGUCUCAUCAUCUUGUCCAAUAUGAUUUUUAAAACAAAACCUACUGGUUUGAUAAACCGUUAAAAGGGAAUUAGAAUACAUCGAAACAACACAAAUUUUUAUGAUACUAAAAUUAAAGAAGAUAAAAUUGUGAAUACCUAUAAAAGUCUCACAACACCCUAAUUUCUUUUUUCUUUUUUAAAACACAUGUAAGUUAAUAACAUAAAAGGAUAAAAAUACCUAUAAAUACGACAAAUAAAGCAACUAAAAUACUAUAUGCAGAGCCUACCCAACAUUUUGGUAGGCCUAAAGUGAAUUUUUUAUUGAUGCUUUUUAAAGUAAAAUAUUAAACUUUGUUGAACCCAAGGUUUGAACCAAAGAUGCAGAGGAUUUGAGACCUCUUCUUGACGAACUAAAGUUAUGCAAGCAUUUAUAAUUAUUUUAUCAUAUUAUGUAUUUAUAUCUAAAGUUGAUAUGGUCAUUGCGUAUCCACGAGGAUUUGAGGCCUCUUUGUUGCUGCCUACCCACGAGGUUUAAUUUGCAAAAUCAUGGAGUCCAUUGUCUGUCACUUGUGUGGUUUGUAAUAAUGAUUUGAAAGAUCAAAUGCACAUGUUUAUGCACUGUAAUUUUGCUACUGAUUGUUGGAAAGAAGUAAAUCUUUGGGCAAGAUAAAGUCAUACAUAACGUCAAAUGAUAGUUUUUCAUCCAUUAUCUUUGAUAUUCUUGUAGCUAUUUAUUGAGUGUUUGGCAUGCACGUAAUGCUUGUUUAUGGGAGGAAAAACUUGUCGAUGCACAUACAUCUUGCGUCCUGGAAUUAGAUACAGUUCGAGAUUACGUGUGGUGUCAUCGUCUCAACGAUGUUGUGCAGUCUGCUACUCCAACUUAGUCCAAACUGCAGGCAGAUUGGAUCAAGUCUUACAUCGAUUGUGUUCUUUUUGAAGCUGAUGGAAAAUUUAGUGUUGGUAUCUGUUUUCGAGACCGCCUUAUCCAAGAACUAUUCCAUCCUAUAGCAAGAAGCUUAGAUAUUAUCUUAUAAAGCACAUUACAUAAUGAAAUUACCCUCCAUUCCUUCAUACUAGUUGGUUUUGUCACAUUUAGGAAUAAGGCAAAUAUUAUUAUCAUUCAAUUAAUGUGCUCGGAAAAUAACCUAUAUAUAACCACAUAUUCACAACUUCAAAAAUUUCAUCACUACAAAGAUUCCAAAACCUUGAAAAAAAAAACCCGGAUUAAAACCAUGAAGACUCGAUGACUUAUUUGAAUGCAUUUGAAAUAACGUAAGUUUCAGCUCCUCUUUAGUAAACGGUGCUAAAAUAAGGUUGUUGUUUGCAUCGGUUAUCUUUGGUUGAAGGUGACAACUAGGCUACCCAUGAAAGAAUGAUGGGUAAUUUACCCUAACCAAUACACAUUAGCCACAUAAGCACAUAUUCAUGAACUAUCUUGACCCCACAAAUAAAUUGUUCAUUUUCAUUGGUUGGUAGGUAAAUUACCCACCAUUCUUCAAAAGUAAUUUAAAAAGAACCUUGAUGGAAUCAUACCAAUCAUUAAAAUUUUCAAUAUCACAAUCAUUUACCGCCUCCUUAAACCCAAGAUAAAUCCAAUUAGGAUGGGAAUGUUGGCCUCGAAUAUUCUCUUGAGAUAAAAUAUCAUUAAAAUUUCUUAUGAUACACCAAGGCAUAUGAGACAUGUCCCUCAACUCUCUGAGACAUGUCCCUCAACUCUCUGAGCAUAUUCCAAGAAUCUCUUCUUCGACCUCCUUUUGGGUAACCAUAAAAAUCAGUUAACAUUGAUUCUCUUUUUAUUGUAUCUUCCACAAUUAAAUUGAUAUUGUUUAUAGAGUAAUUAAGAAUUUUACACAAGCUAUUAACUUUUCAUAUCACUGCUAUCUAGGGGUGGGAUUAGGUCGAGUCGGGCCAAACUUUACUUAAAUAGGUCAGAUCUAAUUUAAAAAGUUAAAGCCUAGGCGACCUAUUAGCUUGUCAAAGACUUUAUUUUAAGUCUAAGCUUUUUAAAAGUCUAGCCUAAUAUUGUCAAAAAGCCUAGUUUAUGCUAAGAAUUUUAAAUAGAAUAUCUGUUCUAUUUAUAAAAAGGCUAAUAAACAUAUAUUUCUUAGAAGAUUAAUAUGCCAAUAAAAUUUUGUAGAGCUUGUAUAUCAAUUUUGUUUCACUCUGUAAGCAUAUAUUGCAUGUAAAUCGAAUAUAAUUUGGUAAGGCCUCUACAUCAAUUGUAUAGAGGCUAUUAGCCAUAUAUGGGCCGAAAAUUUAUUAAUACAAUGGAGGAGUAUAUAUAUAUAUAUAUAUAUAUAUAUAUAUAUAUAUAUAUGAGGAGGGAUAUUUUGACUUCAAGAGUAAGUUUAUAGACUUAUUCCAAAUCUCCACCUUUCAUCUUAUUUUAAUCUAAUAGUUUAAAUGUGAGUUUUAAUUGUUAAUCAUGUGACCAUUUUUUUGGAUCUCAUUCUUAUAAAUAUUUUCUCCAUUUAAUCUCCCUUAUUAAUUAAUGUAAUAAAUACCUCCCCAAUUUUAUUUUAUUUUUUGGCGCACCUUUGCCAAUUCAAAAAGUGUUUUUUAAUCUUUUUCUCCAACAUUAGAGCAAGGUUGCAGUUUGAAAUAUAAAUUAAAAUGUAAGCUUUCCACUCUCACCUCUUGAACCUAUGGAUGAGAAGAUUUUUUUUAUUGAAAUGUAAAUCAAAAAGGAAAGAAAUGAGAUUGAGAGCCAUCAUGUAGAAUUGAGGUUGGAGUGAAACGGAGAGCCAUCACUCUAUAUCCUAUUGUGAUUUAUAUGAUUAUCCAAUCAAAGAAAUUGGGUGUAUACAAAAUCAAUUGGGUGAGUUAGGGUACAAAGCAUUAGGAGGAAAUUUUGUUGUUUUCUGAGAGUUAAAAUAAAUAAAAAAGUAAUUAAGGGAUAAAUGAAAUUUGUUUUAUGAGAAUAAAAUAAAAAAACUUAAAAGUGUGUUUAUGAGAGAAAGGAAAUUUGAUUUAUGAGAAUUAAUUAAGGGAGAAUAAUUGGAGAAGGUAUUUAGAUCCACAAAGAUGGUCAUAUGAUUAACAAUUAAAACCCACAUUUAAGCCAUUAGAUUAAAAUAAGAUGAAAGGUGGAGAUUUGGAGUAAGUCUAUAAACUUACUCUUGGAGUCAAAAUAUCCUCUCUCUCUCUCUCUCUCUCUCUCUCUCUCUCUCUCUCUCUCUCUCUCUCUCUCUCUCUGUAUAUAUAUAUAUAUAUGAGAUAUGAGAUAGAAUCCGUUGACACUUUAUAUUGACACCAAAUCAUAUCCCUUGAUUUCAUUUGAUCCAAUAGCUCCUAUUAAUUCACUUAACCUUGUACCUAUGUGUGAUGCACUGAACCACACCGUCGUCUUCAUUCUCACGUUAUACGUACGCCGUCUGCUAUCUGCAGUUUUCGUUCAUCUCUUCUCCCCUUGCACACCUUCACAAAUGCUUCAUCUAUAUUAUGUGUUGCUCCUAUCGAAAUUAAAACCCACUAUUCAAUUAGUGGUGGAUAUGAGUUAAAACCUUGUACGCUAAUUCUUCAAAUGGAUCCUCUAAGAUUAAUUCCUCAAAUUUUUUGAUUAGAUUUAUGAAAUCAAUAAUAAUUGGAUGACGUUAGAAAACCGAUGGACAUUAUUUAUUGAUUUGCUUCAAUUUGUGCAAUUUUAGGUGAGAAAAAGAAAUUGCAUAUCAGAAUGCAUAAUAUAAAAUAAAAAAUUGUGGGUUUGGUAAAAUGAAAAACUAUGUAAAUUAAAAUGAAAACCAAGAGUUGUUUCCUUUGUUUGGGUAUGGACAAGGAAGUAGCCAAGAUACAAGAGACAACAUUUUUCCAUUGUUGUUCCUGUAUACUUUGUUCAGCAAGAUUGAAAAGGAACAAAAAGAAAAUAAGAGUGCACAUUACAGUGAAAAAGGCCUAUGUUAGUUGAUUUAGUAAAUAAUUAUAAGCCUGUUACAGUGAAAAAGGCCUAUGUAAGUUGAUUUACUUUUUUUAUUCUGAUCUAUUUAAAUUAAUGGUUUUUUUAAAAAGCUUGAAUCUGACUUAUUUACUAAACAAGCUAAACCGGUCUGGGUUUUAAGUAAGUCGAGUUAUAAGCCCCUAACAAACGGUCUGGCUUAUUUUAGGAUUUAGGGUUUACCCAAAUGAUCCCUCCACUUCUCCCUUCAACAUAUAUAGCACAACAAGAAUCAAAACCAAACCUAACUCGUAAGAAUUCUAUAGUCAUUGCUUUUGCCAACGUCUCGUACAAAUAAAGAAUAUCAAGAUUUUAUUUUUGGUUAAUAAAAAGUAGUAAUGCUAAAGGAAGAGACAACCCCAAAAAAAUUAGCUCUAAUAUUUAAUGUAAUACUACUAUGCAUGUAGUAGGAAUAAAUGGGAAACGUAUGCUCUUUUUUUUUUUUUUUGUUACCUGGGAAACGUAUGUUUGAUUGUUUAUUGAAUAGUAGAAAAUUGUUGUAAAGGAAUUCUUUUUUCGACGUUAUAAAGGACUCUCUUUAUGCAUCUCCAAUAAACACUAUCUAUACUUUGUAAAAAGAAUACAAAAAUAAAUGUGAGCAUUGAUAGGGAUAUGAUAGCAUCUAGGAAUCGGGUUCCACCUUAGUUUCUUCUCCUUUAUCCAUUACUAACAUAUGAUUUAUGGUCAAUUUUCAACCUCAAAGAGCAUUCCUUUAAUAAAUAGUUUCCCGUUUUUUUUUUUAUUAUUUAAAUAAUCGAUUUUCACAUCUAUUUAGUUUAUUUCUCUAAUUUUUUCAUCAUCUUAGUGCGACGUUAUUUUGUUUGUCGUCUUUGUGUGACAUUGUUUAUCUUUAUUGUCUUGUUUAGAUGUUUGUUUCAUUCAUAUUGUCAUAUCAAGUUUGAUGCAGUGCAUGUUCAAUCAAUGAUUUAAAAAUUGUCAACGUUGUUGUGAGUUUGUUCGUGGAUUCAUCAAUUUUGUUUUUAGCAAAUUCAUAUUGUAUCGGUGUACUCUAUCAAUUUGAAUGAAUAAUAUCAUUUAUUACUAAAAAAAAGUACCGGGUACAAACUUUAAAUUUUCCGUUUAGUUAUCUUAAAGUGAAUUUUUAGCCACUAAAUUAUUUUAUUAAAAAAAAUCACUAUAUAUAAUGAUUAAAAUUAUAAGCGUAAUUUCAGGAGUGAACAUAGACCUUUAUUCAAAAGGGAAUGAACAUAGACGUAUAAUUAAAGGAGAACGAUAUUUCAUUGUCAUUAAUUUGUUUAUUGUCACUACGUGAAUAUUUUCUAAUUAUUUCGUGGGUGACUGCGACUGAGUCUAUUCAACAAAAAACAAAAAUCUACCGACUAAGUCUUCUUAUAAUUCCAAGACAUCGACUUUGAAUUUUUGAUACAACAAUGACCCAAUCUCACCCAAUCUUAAGAGUACUAUCAUAAUUCAUACAAAAUAGGUCAUAUUUUUCGGUCCUUAAAUAGGUCAUAUUAUAUUUUUCGGUCCUUAAAAAAAAUUGAUAUUUGAUUUUUUAAAAUUAAAUUAACAAGGGUAAAAUUGAGAUAAAAAGUGAUAAACUGUAAGUUAUAAGAUAUUUGAAGCAGCUUAAGAAAAAUGGUAUAAGCUCGAAAAAGAAAGUUAUAACUCGUGAGAAAACUUGUUUGCUAAAAAAAUAAAAAAUAAACUCGUGAGAAAAAAAAUUGUUAACAGACAUGUUUUAUCUUAGUCAUAUGAGAUCAUAAAUUAUAAAUUAUUUGUUAUAAGUGACAUUAACCCAAGAACAAUUUCGUAAUAGUGUAUAUAAAAUAAAAUCAUUAAUUAAUAUGGUAAUUCAGAAUAUUUUGAUUGAUUUUGGAUGUAAAACUGUUUUGGACCGUUAAUCUACCACUAUUAAACUCUUAAUACAUUACCAAUUUUUGUUAAUAUGCAAUUGCAUAAUAAAUUAUUUGUGAUUAAGAUAUCAACUGUUAAUUUCUCAAUUUACUGAUUACACGCUUUAGAAGAAUAAGUAAAUUAGCAUUUUAGUUCUCGGAAUAAUAAAGGACAAAUUAUUUAUUCACUAAAAUUUGUGAAAUAAUAAUUAAUCAAUUAAAUAAAAUAAUACUAUCAAUUAAUUCAGUUCCUCAUAUCUUAUGAAAAAUAAAUCAUCAACAUUUAUAAAAGAUUUGCAUGUUGACUUUUUUAAUUUGUAAAGUUCUAACAUAAAUAACGUGGUAAUUUGAAGUUCGAUAUAAUGUUAAGUGAAGUAUGAUAAAUGAUUGUUUUAAGUCAUGAUUCGAACUCAGUUUUUUUCGAACAAUUUAUCUUAAACAAAAGUUAAGUGAGCACUUCAGCUCAACCGCUCGACUGAAUUAUAUAUUAAUUUAUGUUUUUUAUACAAAAAUAAACGAUAUUCAUUCAUUUAAAUUGAUAUAGUACAUCGAUACAAUACGAAUUUAAAAUUGCUAAAAACAAAAAAGGAUGAAUCUACGAACAAACUCAGAGUAUCCAUGUUAAUAGCAUAAAACGGUAGAGUAUAUAUGCCUACAAAUAUACCUAUCAAGCCACUGAAAUACUCAUGUUUCGGAUCUGCAACGUUGACAAUGCAAAAGUCAUUGAUUGAAUCUGCAUUUGAUCAAAGCUAAUCUUUCAACCUGAAUCAAAUAAAAACCGCAUUAAGACAUGAAUAAAAAACACACCGCACAAAGACGAGAAAUCAAAAUAAAUAAAGUUGUGCUAGAUGACGAAUUCACAAAACCAACAAAAGAAAGGUGAAAAUAUGUGAAAAAUUACUUAUUUAACUAAAAGAGAAAGAGAAACAAUUCAUAGGGGUGAUUUCGUGUCAAAAUUGAUAGUAAGUCACACCUUUUUGGUAGAUGAAGAAGAAAAAAAGUCGUGUGACUAGGGUUUAGGAAAGGAAAAGUGAGAGAAUUUCUACCUUAUAUAAUUGAUUUUUUUAUGUUUUAAAACCAAGACAUUUUCUACACGCGACUACGACAACUAAUCUCUCAAUGUAAACGAAAUUCAUCGUAGAAGUUGUCAUCUCUCAAUAUAUAUUAUCUAUACACAAUGAUCAACAGAUUAAAAUAAUGACCACAUAGCCGAGAGACUCAAAUAAAUAUUCAUCAAUUUUGUUACACCAUAUUGGUAUAUAACUUUCAACUAUGUGGUGUUAAAGUCUGAAAACACGACUAAUUAACUAAUACACUUUAAAGUACUAAAGUAUUACUAUUUAACGAAUUUUAGGACCCACCAUGACACCAUUGCAAUAAUUUCAAUUGGAAAAAUAUUUAGCACCGUUUGGUCAGACUUUUUUCGGUCUAAAAAUUAUUUUAAAACAAAGUUAAAAUAAAACUCUUUAAGGAAAAAGUUAAAGUUGUUUGGUUUCUUUAUUUUUUUUAGUUUUUUUUUGAACAAGCCAAAAUGGAAUUAUAUAAACAAAAAGGCAGUCCCAAACGCACAAGGUGUGCCCUAGCGACUACCUCCAAAACCAAGAGUUACAAGAAUUACAACCAAGCCACAACAGAAAGACAUUAGCCAAUACCCAAACAAACAAGAGGGUUUGACCACCACUGCUGAGUUCCAAAAACAAAGGUAGCUUUUUUAACUUUAAGUCAACCUAAAGACAACAUCUUAAUCUUAUCUAAUAAACAAGGGAUGGGGGUAACAACAUGAUUAAACAGACGGUUAUUUCGUUCAUUCCACACAACCCAGGCACAAAGAAGCCAAAUAAGUUGCAUAAAAGAACGUCUAGCAACACCACCACCUGUCAAAUGAGUAAACUGUAAAAAAUGAUCGGAAAUAUUAUAUGUGUCCACCCCAUAGCAACCAAUCCAAUCACGCACCAGAUGCCACAGAGAGCCAAAAGUAUUACACAAUAAAAAGAGAUGUUGCACCGAUUCAGGAUGACCACAACCAGUAACACACGAGGACAUGUCAUGCGACAACACCCGUCUAGCAAUCAAAUUAGUCCUUGUUGGUAAACGAUCUCGGAUGAGCCUCCACACGAAAACGAACACCUUCAAGGGAACCUGUUUGUGCCACACCAAAUCCAAAGCAUAGUCCGCUACCUGAGGAACCUGAGAAGUCAACAAACUAUAUGCACCAUGAACAGUGUAACCACCAGAUGGGUCCGGAAGCCACACCCAGCUAUCUGAAACAUUAGGAUCCAAAGAAACAUCAAGAAUUAAAGCCCUGCACUCCUCUAGCAAGUCCUCAUCCCACUGCCAUAACCUACGUCUCCACCUCCACACAUCCCCCCACUGCUCCGAAUCAACAGAAAGCAAGUCCGCCACGAAUAUAGACUUAUUCUCUGUUAACUCAAACAACCGACUAAACCUCACACGAAGAGGAGCCUCCCCUAUCCACCUAUCGAACCAAAAUGAUGUAUCUGCCCCAUCACCAACUCUCCUCAACACCUGAUCCUCAAACCAGCCGCUACCACCAACACCAACCCUACCCCUAAGACGACUCACCUCCGACCACCAACAAGAAACUCUCCGGCCCCCAACCUGCCACCUAAUUCGCCAUAUCUGGCAACUAAAACCCUAUACCACAAAUCACCUCUAUCAACCAACAACCUCCAACACCAUUUCCCUAACAAUGCUAUAUUAAACUCCUUCAAUCUCCUCACCCCCAAACCGCCACACUCCUUUUUUAAACAAACAGUUUGCCAACUUAACCAAGAUAUUUUCCUAUUAUCCUCACUCCCCCCACUGCUCCGAAUCAACAGAAAGCAAGUCCGCCACGAAUAUAGACUUAUUCUCUGUUAACUCAAACAACCGACUAAACCUCACACGAAGAGGAGCCUCCCCUAUCCACCUAUCGAACCAAAAUGAUGUAUCUGCCCCAUCACCAACUCUCCUCAACACCUGAUCCUCAAACCAGCCGCUACCACCAACACCAACCCUACCCCUAAGACGACUCACCUCCGACCACCAACAAGAAACUCUCCGGCCCCCAACCUGCCACCUAAUUCGCCAUAUCUGGCAACUAAAACCCUAUACCACAAAUCACCUCUAUCAACCAACAACCUCCAACACCAUUUCCCUAACAAUGCUAUAUUAAACUCCUUCAAUCUCCUCACCCCCAAACCGCCACACUCCUUUUUUAAACAAACAGUUUGCCAACUUAACCAAGAUAUUUUCCUAUUAUCCUCACUCCCCCCCCCCCCCCAAAAAAAAAAAAAAUUAAUAAACAAAGAUUCAAUAGAGGAGAUUAUACCUGAUGGAGCUUUGAAGAAGGAAAGUGCAUAGACAGGCAAAGAGGUCAGGACAGAUUUGAGAAGAACCAAGCGACCACCAAAAGAUAGAAACCGACUAUUCCAACCUGACAGUCUAGAUUUAAUACGAUUCACAAUAGGUUCCCAGAAACACAAUCUUCGAGGAUUACCACCAAUAGGCAUACCCAGAUACAAGAAAGGAACGUUACCUACUUUACAACUCAACACGGAAGCAGCCUCAUGUAACCAAGACGACGCAAUAUUCACCCCAACAAGCAUACUCUUAUGAAAAUUCACUUUCAACCCCGACAUAGCCUCGAACAACACAAGGGCCGCCCUUAAAGCACGAACAUUAGCCCAACUUUUAGUUCCUAACAACAAAGUGUCAUCAGCAAAUUGGAGGUGAGAUACAACAACCGGAUUAACCACCCCAAUGCUAUAGCCAGAGAACAGUUGAGCCUCAACCAAAGAUUUCAUCACAACAUUAAGACCCUCCGCGGCCAACAAAAACAAAAAAGGAGACAAAGGGUCACCUUGUCUUAACCCUCUCAUCAACGGGAAUUCAUCAGUUGGACUUCCAUUAACUAAGACAGACGCUGUGGCAGUGCUAACACACUCUUUGAUCCAAUUCCUCCAACGGGAAUUCAUCAGUUGGAAUUCAUCUUUAAAAGUUGUUUGACAAAAUAUUGUAUACCAAAUUUUGUUAUAAGAAUAUCAUAUUUUUGGUGUCAUUUAAAAAGAUAAGAAUUUAUAUUAUAUGAUAUUAUAUUUGUUACAUUGUUGGUGUCAUUGAAAAAGAUAUGUUUAGUUUUUUAAUAAGAAAAAGAUAUGCAUAGUUUGUUACAACAUAAAUGUGUAAAGUAUAUAUAAGUAUAAUUUUUUAGGUAUCUAUACUAGUACUUUUAAUUAAAAUCAAAAUUUUAUAAAAAUAAUAAUUGUACGCAUUGCGCAACACUGAAAAAAUUAUACCCAUUAGCAUAACAAAAAAAAACAGACAUACAGACAUAAAAUAUUACUCUAAACGCUAAUGUGUGUGUGUAUAUUUGUGAGGUUGAAAAAAGGGAAUAAAAAUAUUUGGUGUCAUUCAAUGACAGCAUGAAUAAAAAUAUUUGUGAGGUUGUGAUAAUUAAACGAUAUUAAAAUUAAAUAUAUAAGUGAUAAAAAGAUAAUAAAACUCCUUCAAAAAUAGAUAAUUAAAUUGAUCCUCCUUUAAAAAAAAAUUAUAUGGACCGGUUCAAAAAAAAUUAAAUUGAAGAAAAAACAAAUUGAAAUAUAAUAUUAAAAAAUAAAAUAUAAGGUUGCUGCGUGAGUUGAAGAGGAGUGCUUGUGAAAUAAAUUACAAAGAAGUAGUUUUUUGAAGUAGCAUUCAACAACUUUUGGUUAAAGCUCAUUCCAUUCAAAUUUUAUGCAUUCUAAAAAAAGUACUUUUUUUCGAAGGUAUUUUAUUGAUAUUGUGUUUGGCGUAGCUUCUCCUUAAAAAUGUAGAAAAGUUGAAGAAAAAAAAAAAGUCGGGUCAAACAGUACUUUAAUAUACUCAAUUAAAGUUACUAAUGUACUGGCAAGUAACUUUUAGAGGAAGAUUUUCUUUUUUUAAGGAUUUUAGAGGAAGCUUAGCAACACACUUUUAAUAUACAUUUUUCUAGAAUUUUUUUUUAUUGAUUAAAAUUCAUAUAUAUCCUCAUAAAUCAUGUGGAUUUCAUAUAAUAUAAUAGAAGACACAAAUUUUAACCGACAAAUAGAGUGUAAAAAAUAGAGAAAUGAUAUUUGUACAACCACUUUGUGAUAAUUUUUGGACAAUUUUCUCUCUCAUACUCAUAUUAUAUUCUUACUCUCUUCUUUUUUCUCUCUCCAUUAUUUUUGACCAAUGAAAAGAGAGAAAAGAAAGAUUGUCAAAUAGGUUGUACCAAAUGGUUGUUCAAAUAGGUUGUACCAAAUGGUUGUUCAAAUAUCAUUUCUUUAAAAAAUAUAAGCAUUAAAGAGUUUGUUGUUAACAUUAUUUUAAUUUUUUUUAUGUAAUCCACACUUUGAGUCAUGGAGUGCUUUACUAAUUCAUUUUGUUUUUCGCAACCCAAUUCAAGAUUGUCUAGAAACAAAGAGGACUGACCUAAUAAAUAAAUAUUAAAAUAAGCUACUUGAGCUAAACAAUGAGAUUUCCAAACAAGGUAGGUCCUACUCAAGUUCUAUAAAUAGCAUCCCUCACCAUGUCAUAAACCGCAUCACAAGUUAUAUACUAGUUGUAUUUUUAUUAUAUACUUCUCCUUUCAUUUUCUUCUUGCAUAUUAAUCUUCUUUAUCUUAAUAUAUAUCAUGGGUGUUUUUACUUUCAAUGAUGAACAUGUCUCAACCGUGGCUCCAGCUAAACUAUACAAAGCUCUUGCAAAAGAUGCUGAUGAAAUCGUCCCAAAGGUGAUUUCUGCUGCCCAAAGUGUUGAAAUUGUUGAAGGAAAUGGAGGACCAGGAACCAUUAAGAAGUUAUCCAUUGUUGAAGGUAAUUAAGAGCAUAUACGACGUACAAAUAUAUAAUACUUAAGAUCAAAUGAUACAUAGUGUUCACGUAAAAUUGUUUUACACCGACAACCAAUCAAAUUUAUCAGUACAACAAAGAAUUGUGUAACUACCUUUUAUUUAAAAAUUGAUAAAUAUGAUGUGACAAAUUGAAGAGUUGUGAUUGAUUAAAUGAUUCACAAAUAACUAAGUUAAAUUCAUUAUACCAAAUAAAAGUAAGUUAAAUUCAUUAUACCCAAAAAAAAAAAGUAAGUUAAAUUCAAGUGUAUCAAAAAAAGUCAUUCAAAUCUAUUUGGAUAGUUAUGGUAGUAGCCAUUUAUGUUAUACUUUUAUUUUUAAAAUAG